Molecule: unclassified non-coding RNA, 2978 nt
Filed under: Zerene cesonia (dogface butterfly)
Lineage: Eukaryota; Metazoa; Arthropoda; Insecta; Lepidoptera; Pieridae
Description: rNA-binding protein 5-A-like, transcript variant X1
Source: RNAcentral
ACUAUUUUUUAAUGAAAAAUAUGGCGAUUCUAUGAUAUCUUGAAUUCUUGAUUUUUGAUUUUAACUGAUUUUGAUGGUGAAAAUAAUCACAAUUCUAGGAAUAACAUUAUUAUAUUGAACUGUUUAUACCUAAGGAUAUUUUUUGGCGUAAUCUACAGCAGGCUAUGUCUUGGCGCGGAAGGGAGGAUCGUGGGAAUCGCUGGGCUGAGAACCGCCCGCGAUCGCCUGUGUGGGAGAUGAGGCGCAGUUCCAGUCCAGACAGAGGCCGCCAAACGUCUCCUCGAGACCGACACAGGGAGCGCCGCGACCGCGUCGACCGUUAUGACCGUGACCGCGACCGUCGUGAUCGCGACCGUGAGCGCGAUGACCGUUACCGCCGUGAUCGCUACGACAAACGUGAUCGCGACCAACGUGACAGGCGUCGAUCGCCGCGCCGCCCAGAAGAUAAAGAGGUCCCGACCGCUCCGUCCCCUCCUAAAAUAAGUAACGAAAGGCAAAAGAUUGAUUCCCAGUCUAGAAGUAGGUCCCGUAGUCAUGACCGACAAGAGAAUGUGGAAACCUAUGAGAAUAAACACGAAGAUUCCCAAUCGAAUGCUUCCCCAGGCGACUGGAUAUGUCAAUGUGGUUCGUACAAUUUCAAACGGCGCCAAGUAUGUUACAGAAGAAAUUGCCAAGGUAAGAGAGCAGAUGGUGUGGUAUAUGGUGGUGAUGAUAGGAACGGCUCAGAAUCUAGCCCUGGUAUUACCAAGAGGCUAUUAUUUAGAAGGUUAGAUGCUUUAACUACUGAGGAGAAAAUACUGGAAGCAAUUAAGGAUAGGUGUACCAAGUCAGUACUUGAUUCAAUAGCUGGUAUAACAAUAGGUAGGGAGACAUUAACUGGAGCAUCAAAAUGUCUAGCUUAUAUCAACUUCAACUCAAUAGCAGAUUCAACAGCUGCACAUUCUGAGUUAUUAGCUUUAGAUCCUCCGCUUAAGAUAGAUGGACGAGAAGUAUUAAUUUCAUUUUACAAUGAGGUGCAAAAGGUUCAAAAGAAUAAUAUGUCUAAUAACUCUGAUUAUUCUGCAUAUUAUGCUCAAAUGUCAUAUAACACCAGUCAAGCGCUUUCCGAAGCCGAUAGGGUAAAUGCUGCAGCUGCAGUAGCACAGUCUGCUAUAACUGCAGCGCAGGCAAGGCAGCUGUCAUGGACACCCGUGUCUGUACCAGUCUUUGUUACAUCUUCCGCUCAAAAUACUGCUGUGACAAAUAUACCCACUGGUGAUGGUAAAACAGUGUAUAGCCCACCUGAUGUGAGAACAUUUAUGUAUGAUGAGACAUCAGGCUAUUACUACGAUCCUGCAACAGGUUUAUAUUAUGAUGGAAAUACACAGUACUUCUACAACAGUCAAACCAGCCAGUACAUGUACUGGGAUGCCACAAAUUCCACCUAUAUUGCAGCUACUCAAAACCAACAGAAUACUAACCAGCCAAAACUGCAAAACCCACCAACUGCUACAGUAGAAAACACAAUUCCAAAAGAACCAGAUGAGAAAAAGAAAAGAGAUAAAGAGGAUAAGGUUAAGGUUGCCAAAAAGAUUGCGAAAGAUAUGGAAAGGUGGGCUCGGACAUUGAACCAAAAGAAGGAAAAUGCUCGAAGUAAUAUUGUUAUGGAACAGCCGCUAGACCAUGGAGCUAGCAAGGGCUCAGCGGAUAUAGGAUUUUCUGUGCUUGGAGCUGGUCCCUCAAUUACACCGCACAUGCGAGAAAUAUCACCACCACCGAAUACUGAAGAAUUUCUAAUUAAAAAGCCUGAAGCUGCCCAAGUAGAGUCUGAUGAUGGAAUCAUUGACUGGGCAAGGCUAACAUGCAUUAUUUGCAAACGGCGUUUCCCAUCGGCUGAGGUGUUAACAAAACACAAAACAUUGUCCGACUUGCACAAGCAAAACUUGGUGGAAUUUCAGAAAAAGAAUGAUUUGUUGCCACAAACAAAUGGUUAUAGGGAUAGGGCAGCGGAGAGACGAUUAAAGUUUGGUGAAGAUGAGCCCCCUCCAAUUCGUAAGAGAUAUGAGUCUGAUACACCAGCGCCUGUUGUUUCACAUCCACCUCCAUCAGUAGUAGACACGAUUGGUGGUAAAAUGUUGCAAAAAAUGGGUUGGUCAGAAGGUCGAGGACUGGGAAAGGAAGAGCAGGGAAGAAUAGCUCCCAUAGAAGCUGAACAAAGACCUAGUUUGGCGGGACUUGGACAGAAGCGGGGAAUAUACACACCCACACCUGGGUUAACAUACCGAGACACUGUAAAGAAACUUAUGAUUGCAAGAUACAAGGAAGUUGUUGGGCAGGAGGAAGGCAAUCCAUAGAUUUGGCGCUACCGAUGCGAUGCAACCAUUAAGAUGUGCCCAAGCCAUCUUCGAAUGCUUCGGGGGGCUGCCUACGUCCAUACAAAGAUGUGUUACAUUGUUUAUAGUUGUAUGCUGUUAAUUAUUUUCCCGCCCGAUUAUAGUUUUUGGUUUAAAUUAAAUACGUAAUGUUUGAAACUUAAAUAAUGCACAUUGUUUAUAAUUUAGCGAUUCUUGAGGAUCUAAUAAAUUGAACAAUUGAUAAGUUGGUAAAUAGAUGUUUAAGAUUUUUUUUAAGAAUUUCGUCAAGUGUUUAUUUAGAACAAAGUAGCGUUAAGAUGUUAUCUUCGUUUGGUUUUAAAUUAAAGUUAAAAGAAAAAUUAACGCACCUACACUGCAUUUACCGUAAAUAUUAAAAAUUCAUUCCAAUAAAAUAUUCGGAUUUUCACUAACUGUUUUUUAAUAAUUUUAUUUUUUUAAGGCGAAUUUGAAACGAAUAUAGCUUAACAUUAUAAAUUAUUGUAAAUAAUAAUUAAUAUUAGGAAUAUUAGUACCUAGAUUAUUUAAUAGAUAGAGUUUUUUAUUGUAAAGAAUGCGAUUAAUAUUAGAUUUAGAUACGCAAGUUGUACAAAUAUAUUUUUUAUUAAAAAGUUAUUAUUAAAUGAA